AGAGCGAACGCUGGCGGCAGGCCUAACACAUGCAAGUCGAGCGCCCGUAGCAAUACGGGAGCGGCAGACGGGAUAGUAACACGUGGGAACGCGCCCUUCGGUUCGGAAUAACUCAGGGAAACUUGAGCUAAUACCGAAUACGCCCUUACGGGGAAAGAUUUAUUGCCGAAGGAACGGCCCGCGUCCGAUUAGCUAGUUGGUGAGGUAAUGGCUCACCAAGGCUACGAUCGGUAGCUGGUCUGAGAGGAUGACCAGCAUCACUGGGACUGAGACACGGCCCAGACUCCUACGGGAGGCAGCAGUGGGGAAUAUUGGACAAUGGGCGCAAGCCUGAUCCAGCCAUGCCGCGUGGAUGAUGAAGGCCUUAGGGUUGUAAAGUCCUUUUAACGGGAAGAUAAUGACGGUACCCGUAGAAUAAGCCCCGGCUAACUUCGUGCCAGCAGCCGC
Molecule: ribosomal RNA, 447 nt
Filed under: uncultured bacterium
Lineage: Bacteria
Description: SSU rRNA
Rfam family: Bacterial small subunit ribosomal RNA
Source: RNAcentral